Molecule: ribosomal RNA, 465 nt
Filed under: uncultured bacterium
Lineage: Bacteria
Description: partial 16S ribosomal RNA
Rfam family: Bacterial small subunit ribosomal RNA
Source: RNAcentral
CCUACGGGUGGCAGCAGUGGGGAAUAUUGCGCAAUGGGCGAAAGCCUGACGCAGCGACGCCGCGUGAGGGAUGAAGGUCUUCGGAUCGUAAAGCUCUGUCAGCAGGGAAGAACGGUCACUGUGCUAAUCAGCAGUGAAUUGCCGGUACCUGCAAGGGAAGCACCGGCUAACUCCGUGCCAGCAGCCGCGGUAAUACGGAGGGUGCGAGCGGUAAUCGGAAUUACUGGGCGGAAAGCGCUCGUAGGCGGUAUGUCAAGUCAAGGGUGAAAGCCCCGCGCUCAACGUGGGAACUGCCUUUGAAACUGGCAAACUGGAGUGUGGGAGAGGAUAGUGGAAUUCCAGGUGUAGCGGUGAAAUCCGUAGAUAUCUGGAGGAACAUCAGUGGCGAAGGCGACUAUCUGGCACAUAACUGACGCUGAGGUGCGAAAGCGUGGGUAGCAAACAGGAUUAGAUACCCCUGUAGUC